Molecule: ribosomal RNA, 594 nt
Filed under: Pseudozyma hubeiensis
Lineage: Eukaryota; Fungi; Basidiomycota; Ustilaginomycetes; Ustilaginales; Ustilaginaceae
Description: eukaryotic LSU rRNA
Rfam family: Eukaryotic large subunit ribosomal RNA
Source: RNAcentral
GAGUGAGAGGGAAGAGCCCAAGAUUGAAAGCUGGCGCCUUCGGCGUCCGCAUUGUAAUCUCAAGAAGUGUUUUCCGCUUCGGACCAUGCCUAAGUCCCUUGGAAAAGGGCAUCACAGAGGGUGAUAAUCCCGUACAUGGCAUGGAGCGCCCGAAGCUUUGUGAUACGCUUUCUAAGAGUCGAGUUGUUUGGGAAUGCAGCUCAAAAUGGGUGGUAAAUGCCAUCUAAGGCUAAAUAUUGGGGAGAGACCGAUAGCGAACAAGUACAGUGAUGGAAAGAUGAAAAGAACUUUGAAAAGAGAGUUAAACAGUACGUGAAAUUGCCAAAAGGGAAGGGUAGGAGGUCAGAGAUGCGUCGCAGGAUUCAGCCUUGCUUUUGCUUGGUGUUUUUCCUGCGUUGCAGGCCAACGUCGGUUUUGGGCACUGGAGAAGGGUAGGAGGAACGUGGCACCUCUCGGGGUGUGUUAUAGCCUCCUACUGGAUACAGCGACCGAGACCGAGGAACGCAGCGUACUCGUAAGAGCGGGCCUUUUGGCACCUUUACGCUUAGGGCGUUGGCAUAAUGGCCCUCUACCACCCGUCUUGAAACACGGACC